RNAcentral lists this unclassified non-coding RNA (462 nucleotides) under uncultured fungus. RNAcentral describes it as "partial internal transcribed spacer 1". It matches the Rfam family "Bacterial small subunit ribosomal RNA", at positions 338 to 795 of the family's 1533-position model. Lineage: Eukaryota; Fungi. The record is from RNAcentral.
CCUACGGGUGGCUGCAGUCGAGAAUCUUCGGCAAUGGGCGCAAGCCUGACCGAGCGACGCCGCGUGUGGGAUGAAGGCCUUCGGGUUGUAAACCACUGUCAGAGGGGAUGAAAUGCAGGUGGGUUCUCCCAUCUGUUUGACAUAGCCUCAGAGGAAGGACGGGCUAAGUUCGUGCCAGCAGCCGCGGUAAGACGAACCGUCCAAACGUUAUUCGGAAUCACUGGGCUUAAAGGGUGCGUAGGCGGCGCGGCAAGUUGGGUGUGAAAUCCCUCGGCUCAACCGAGGAACUGCGCCCAAAACUGCCGUGCUCGAGGGAGAUAGAGGUGAGCGGAACUUAGGGUGGAGCGGUGAAAUGCGUUGAUAUCCUAAGGAACACCGGUGGCGAAAGCGGCUCACUGGAUCUCUUCUGACGCUGAGGCACGAAAGCUAGGGUAGCGAACGGGAUUAGAUACCCCAGUAGUC